RNAcentral lists this ribosomal RNA (510 nucleotides) under Bacillus cereus. RNAcentral describes it as "bacterial SSU rRNA". It matches the Rfam family "Bacterial small subunit ribosomal RNA", at positions 373 to 882 of the family's 1533-position model. Lineage: Bacteria; Bacillati; Bacillota; Bacilli; Caryophanales; Bacillaceae. The record is from RNAcentral.
GGUCGAGUCUGACGGAGCACGCCGCGUGAGUGAUGAAGGUUUUCGGGUCGUAAAACUCUGUUGCUAGGGAAGAACGCCUGCGAGAUUAAUUGCCCGGAAGGUUGCCGGACCCGAACCGAAAACCCCGGGCUAAUUACUGGCCACCACCCCCGGUAUUACUUAGGUGGCAGCGUUUUCCGGAAUUAAUUGGCCGUAAAGGGCGCCCAGGUGGUUUCUUAAUUGGGAGGUUAAACCCCACGCUUCACCCUGGGACGGUCCUUGAAAAGUGGGAGACUUGUAUGCAAAAGAGGAAAGUGAUUUUCGUGUGUAGCUGAGAUGUGCAUAGAUGUGUAGGGGACACCUGGGGCAAGCGAGAUUUUCGGGUGUGUAUGUGACUCAGGGGCGCAAACGCGUGGAGAGCAAACGAUUUUAUAUCCCGGGAUACUCACCCCAUAAAAUAUAAGUGCUAUGUUUUAGGGUUUUCUCGCCCUUGUGUGCAAAUUUUACAUUUUACACUCCCCCCGGGAGGAA